RNAcentral lists this transfer RNA (71 nucleotides) under Myxococcales bacterium. RNAcentral's name for it is "tRNA-Glu". It matches the Rfam family "tRNA". Rfam says of the family: Transfer RNA (tRNA) molecules are approximately 80 nucleotides in length. Their secondary structure includes four short double-helical elements and three loops (D, anti-codon, and T loops). Lineage: Bacteria; Pseudomonadati; Myxococcota; Myxococcia; Myxococcales. The record is from RNAcentral.
GCUCCGUUCGUUCAAUGGGAGGACCCGGGUUUUUCACUCCCGGUACGCGGGUUCGAUCCCCGCACGGAGCA